GUCGGGUGCGGUGGCUCACACCUGUAAUCCCAGCACUUUGGGAGGCUGAGGCAGGAGGAUCACCAGAGGUCAGGAGUUCGAGACUAGCCUGGCCAACAUGGUGAAACCCUGUCUCUA
Molecule: small RNA, 117 nt
Filed under: Callithrix jacchus (white-tufted-ear marmoset)
Lineage: Eukaryota; Metazoa; Chordata; Mammalia; Primates; Cebidae
Description: Metazoan signal recognition particle RNA (ENSCJAG00000078710.1)
Source: Rfam by way of RNAcentral